GGGUUGUGAGGUUAAGCGACUAAGCGUACACGGUGGAUGCCCUGGCAGUCAGAGGCGAUGAAGGGCGUGCUAAUCUGCGAUAAGCGCCGGUAAGGUGAUAUGAACCGUUAUAACCGGCGAUACCCGAAUGGGGAAACCCAGUGUGAUUCGUCACACUAUCAUUAACUGAAUCCAUAGGUUAAUGAGGCGAACCGGGGGAACUGAAACAUCUAAGUACCCCGAGGAAAAGAAAUCAACCGAGAUUCCCCCAGUAGCGGCGAGCGAACGGGGAGGAGCCCAGAGCCUGAAUCAGCAUGUGUGUUAGUGGAAGCGUCUGGAAAGUCGCGCGAUACAGGGUGACAGCCCCGUACACAAAAGCGCAUGUGUUGUGAGCUCGAUGAGUAGGGCGGGACACGUGGUAUCCUGUCUGAAUAUGGGGGGACCAUCCUCCAAGGCUAAAUACUCCUGACUGACCGAUAGUGAACCAGUACCGUGAGGGAAAGGCGAAAAGAACCCCGGCGAGGGGAGUGAAAAAGAACCUGAAACCGUGUACGUACAAGCAGUGGGAGCCCCACCACCAAAGCAUUCUCUGGUGUUGAAGGCCCUGCAAAGCAGCAUCGCGGUGGCGGAGCGUCGUUUGCGACGCCCAACACACAAAACAAGCGGUGAGUGCUUUGGGGUGGGGUGACUGCGUACCUUUUGUAUAAUGGGUCAGCGACUUAUAUUCUGUAGCAAGGUUAACCGUAUAGGGGAGCCGGAGGGAAACCGAGUCUUAAUUGGGCGUUAAGUUGCAGGGUAUAGACCCGAAACCCGGUGAUCUAGCCAUGGGCAGGUUGAAGGUUGGGUAACACUAACUGGAGGACCGAACCGACUAAUGUUGAAAAAUUAGCGGAUGACCUGUGGCUGGGGGUGAAAGGCCAAUCAAACCGGGAGAUAGCUGGUUCUCCCCGAAAGCUAUUUAGGUAGCGCCUCGUGAAUUCAUCUCCGGGGGUAGAGCACUGUUUCGGCUAGGGGGCCAUCCCGGCUUACCAACCCGAUGCAAACUGCGAAUACCGGAGAAUGUUAUCACGGGAGACACACGGCGGGUGCUAACGUCCGUCGUGAAGAGGGAAACAACCCAGACCGCCAGCUAAGGUCCCAAAGUCAUGGUUAAGUGGGAAACGAUGUGGGAAGGC
This 1154-nucleotide ribosomal RNA is filed under the name Salmonella enterica subsp. enterica serovar Blockley. RNAcentral's name for it is "partial 23S ribosomal RNA". It matches the Rfam family "Bacterial large subunit ribosomal RNA", at positions 1 to 1084 of the family's 2925-position model. Lineage: Bacteria; Pseudomonadati; Pseudomonadota; Gammaproteobacteria; Enterobacterales; Enterobacteriaceae. The record is from RNAcentral.